GAUGAAGAACGUAGCGAAAUGCGAUAAGUAGUGUGAAUUGCAGAAUUCAGUGAAUCAUCGAAUCUUUGAACGCACAUUGCGCCCCUUGGUACUCCAUGGGGCAUGCCUGUUCGAGCGUCAUUUACACCCUCAAGCUCAGCUUGGUGUUGGGCGUCUGUCCCGCUUCGUGCGCGGACUCGCCUCAAAUGCAUUGGCAGCGGUCUUGCCAGCUUCUCGCGCAGCACAUUGCGCUUCUAGAGGCUUUGGCGGAUCGGCGUCCAUCAAGUACACCCACAGUUUGACCUCGGAUCAGGUAGGGAUACCCGCUGAACUUAAGCAUAUCAAUAGCGGAGGA
RNAcentral lists this unclassified non-coding RNA (334 nucleotides) under soil metagenome. RNAcentral's name for it is "partial contains 5.8S ribosomal RNA, internal transcribed spacer 2, and large subunit ribosomal RNA". The stretch from base 1 to 120 matches the Rfam family "5.8S ribosomal RNA", at positions 35 to 154 of the family's 154-position model. The record is from RNAcentral.